GAGGCAUGAGAGCAACACUGCAGGCUGGCAGAGAAGGAGGGAGUCUUCACUGCAAGUCAAGCCCUCUGGUUGAGAGCCUCAGAAGAGCAGGGGGACCACAAGACCAGCUCCCUGCUGUGCUGACAAACUGCUGUCGCCUAAAACAUGAUUGCUGAUGCAGUCUGGGCUUCUCCACAGAAAGAAUUCUACAAGCAGAUGUGCACAAGCAGUAAUUAUGUAUACUAGAAAAAGUUACAGAAUGAAAUAGUAGAUUCUUGCUAGAGAAUGCCAUCAUGCUGCAAUGCCCGAGUUGAUUUCCAAGUGGGGGGAUAUGAAUACAAAAAAGCAGGAGUGCCACCUACAUUUUUUUUUGAGCAAACUCUCAAGCCCCUUUUGGACAGGAACAUCUGACACUCAGGUCUGAUGCUCCCAGGCUGCUCAGCAGAGCUCACUGCUCCAUGCCACCGUGCCUCAUUAUCAUCUUCUGGAGGCUGGAGUUAACGGGAAUUAUCUGGCUGUUAACCUGCACCAGCUGCUGGGCAGGCAGCAUUGGGUUCCCCCUCUUUUGGUGGGGCAGAGAGUCAGGUCCCACAGGCUGACUGCUCUCUGUCCAGCAUUCACCCCUCAUGAUACAUCACAUAGAAAAGCUCUAAAUUCUUAUCCUCUUUUUCAUCCAAAGCAUAAUAGGAAUAUGAAUACCCUUCUGCACUCCUGCAAUUAUUUCUUCUUGGAGCACAAAAUAAACAAAACCCAUCACAUUUC
Zonotrichia albicollis (white-throated sparrow) is the source of this 741-nucleotide non-coding RNA. Lineage: Eukaryota; Metazoa; Chordata; Aves; Passeriformes; Passerellidae. The record is from RefSeq and is a predicted model, not a curated record.